GCUCAGGAUGAACGCUGGCGGCGUGCUUAACACAUGCAAGUCGAACGGGAAUUACUUUAUUGAAACUUCGGUCGAUUUAAUUUAAUUCUAGUGGCGGACGGGUGAGUAACGCGUGGGUAACCUGCCUUAUACAGGGGGAUAACAGUCAGAAAUGGCUGCUAAUACCGCAUAAGCGCACAGAGCUGCAUGGCUCAGUGUGAAAAACUCCGGUGGUAUAAGAUGGACCCGCGUUGGAUUAGCUGGUUGGUGGGGUAACGGCCCACCAAGGCGACGAUCCAUAGCCGGCCUGAGAGGGUGAACGGCCACAUUGGGACUGAGACACGGUCCAGACUCCUACGGGAGGCAGCAGUA
Molecule: ribosomal RNA, 351 nt
Filed under: uncultured bacterium
Lineage: Bacteria
Description: bacterial SSU rRNA
Rfam family: Bacterial small subunit ribosomal RNA
Source: RNAcentral